Molecule: unclassified non-coding RNA, 301 nt
Filed under: Hevea brasiliensis (rubber tree)
Lineage: Eukaryota; Viridiplantae; Streptophyta; Magnoliopsida; Malpighiales; Euphorbiaceae
Source: RNAcentral
GCUAAAUGAUUUGUUUUACGUCAAUCCAGCUGUUAUUUGUGCCCGUUAUAGUGAUGAGGAGUAUCUGAAAAAUAGAUGCAAAGGUGAUAAAGAAAUCUUCUUCCAGCGGUAUGGACGGUACAAUAUUGACAAGAUAUGGCGAGAUGAUAUAUUCCCUUGUCGUGUUUAUCUCCGUCAUUGUGUCCUGGCAGCUCAAAAUCUUGGUAAUCUAGCCUACGACAACUUUCUAGAUCAUACCUUCCUUGGUGACCGUAGAACUACAAUACGUGAGUACUUGUUAACAACUGGUUCUGGAAUCAUG